GGGGGGAAAUAUUUGGAAUCCACAUAUCGGACGAAGAACUAGUAUCUAGAAUAUAUACAUAAUUUAAAAUGCAACACUUUUUAAAAAAAGAAACAGUACAGUUAGGAAAACAGCAAAGGGCAUGAACAGAUAUUUUACCUAAGAUAAUGUAAAAUGGCAACUAAGUACAUGAAAAGAUAUUCAACAUCAGUAGACAUUAAGAAAAUAAAAUUUAAACCGAUAAUUAAAUAAUACUACACACACAAAUAACAGAAUGGCUAAUAUGAAAAAUAGUGACAACAUUAAAUACUUGUGAGGAGGCAGAAAACCAGAAAAACAUAUUGCUGGUGGGAAUGGAAAAUGGUACAGCCACUUGUAAAAAUAAUUGUUUGGGGCUGGGAGCUGUGGCUCACACCUGUAAUCUCAGCACUUUGGGAGGCCAAGGCGGGCAGAUCACCUAAAGUCAGGAGUUUGAGACCAGCUGGCCAAUAUGGGGAAACCUCAUCUCUACUAAAAAUACAAAAAAAAAAAAAAAUAGCUUGGCAUGGUGGCAGGUGCCUGUAAUCCCAGCUACUUGGGAGACUGAGGCGGGAGAAUCGCUUGAACCUGGUAGGCAGAGGUUGCAGUGAGCCGAGAUUGCACCACUGCGCUCCAGCCUGGGUGCAAGAGAAUGAGACUCCCUCAGAAAAUAAAUAAAUAAAUAAAUAAAAAAGAAAGGAAAAAAAAAGGAAAAGCUAAGAAAAAAUUGUUUGCCAGUUUCUUGUAAAACUGCACAUGCAAUUACCAUAUUACCCAGCAAUUGAAAUCUUGUUCAUUUGUCCCACAGCAAUGAAAUUCCAUGUUCAUCAAAAAACCUGCAUAUGAAUGCCAAUAUAGCAGCUGUACUUGUGAUAACCUAAAACUGGAAACAGCCAAGAUUUCCUUCAAAAGAGGAAUGGUUAAACAAUGAGAGGCUAAAACAUGACCACGGGGGAGAACACCUCCAGCCAUACACUGAAAACCAAGAGUGUCUUUGUUCACAUGAUAAGUCACCCACGUCUGUCCCAGGAAAUUCCUACCCAGGAAGAUAAGGCUACAAAGCAAGAAAUAACUUUAUUGCUUUCUGCAGAAAUUUUGUACAAAUUAAUUUUAUUAGAUAAAUUGCUCUUCUCUCAAAGCAAUAGAUUAUUAACUGGGGCAAACAACUCACUUAUCAAUAAAUUCAUUUACUUAUCCAGACCCAUUUUCAGGUUCUCAUUUGGCUAUGUUCACCAGUUUGAAAUAUGAUGCCAACAACUUUACCUAAUCAUAGUCAGAUCCCCAUCUUAAAUAAUGCAUUAUGUCACUUGAGCCACGAUUGCAAAAUCAUAUAAACUUUCUCCCUGCUCUCCCCUUCUGAGACUACACUUCUGUCAAGAGAGUGAUCUUCCUUAUUACCAUAGAUCUGAUAAACUGAGUUUAACUUGAUCAACAGAUUAAGGAUGAGCUUAACUUGAUCAACCUCAUAUAUAUGGGAAUUGCAAAUUGUAAUGAAAUUAGGGUAGAAAUCUGUUUUCUACCUGGACAAUCAGAAGGUUAGAUAUGUCAAAAUAGUAAAUUAUUAUAAGCAAAAGUAUUUUUAGUAUGUUGUAUUUUAUGAAAGUUGAAUUUCUAUAUAUUAUAAUUU
Molecule: long non-coding RNA, 1624 nt
Filed under: Homo sapiens (human)
Lineage: Eukaryota; Metazoa; Chordata; Mammalia; Primates; Hominidae
Description: HSALNT0063375
Source: RNAcentral